This is a long non-coding RNA of Raphanus sativus (radish), 1257 nucleotides long. RefSeq lists it as uncharacterized. Lineage: Eukaryota; Viridiplantae; Streptophyta; Magnoliopsida; Brassicales; Brassicaceae. The record is from RefSeq and is a predicted model, not a curated record. The transcript is spliced from 2 exons.
CCAACUAGUAGUUACUGUAGUACUUAGGUAGCACAGUGUUUAUUAUUGUCUCUGAUCUCUAUCUUGAUUGCCUUAAAGAAGUUAUCACUUCCACACUUGUACUACUACUACUACUUUUCUUUCAAGAGAACUGGUCCCACUGACUCUUUGUCUUCAUUGCCCGAUCUGAGUCUGAUCUCUCAUCUCUUCUUCUCCCACUUGCUAAAUCUACAUUUAAGACCUGAAAGGUGUCUUCUUCCUUUUUUCUCCGUCAAAGUCUACAUUGGUGUUUUACUUUUAGACAAACUGUGUUUCAGCUUUUUUGUUUGUGUGUGUCCACCUCAAAGCAGAAAUCUAAAACUCUGAAAAAGGUUGGAUCAUCAUUUGCUUGUGUUGGUGGAUAUCUUCACUUUUUCGUUCUGAGGUUUUAUGGUUUAAUGGAAGAUAAACCGGUGGCUUCAUCGAACCCAAACCUGCAAGUGUCGGUUUCAUUUCGUAGGUUUGAGGAUGGGAUGAUAUACUUUCAUGGGAGAAGUUCUCUGCUUUCUCUCCAAACAAGUACUCGGAGGAAGUUGGUAAGUUUUGCAACUCCGGGUUCAGUUUCUCAAAAGAAGGCCUAUUUUGAAGCUCAUUACAAGAAGGUCGCUGAGAGGAAAGCUGAGAUCAUGGAUCAUGAGAAACAAAAAAUGGACAAGAACAUGUCUUUUAGAUUGGUCGUUACAGAUCAGGGAAGUAUGGAAGGCGAAAUUGGUGAAGAAUGUAAUUAAUGGGAAAAUUCACUUGUGAAGAAGAUAAGCAUGUGACUGACAUUGCUAUUCAAGUGAGUGUAGACGAGGUUAACGAAGAAACUAGCUAUCAUCGUCAAGGAAUGUUCAAAGCUCGGUUGAUCAGGUGAAAGAAGAAGAAGUUGACAACAGUCUUGGUUGUCUUAAGCUGGAAGAGGUACUACAAGUGCAUGAGAAAGAAGAGAUAAAGGUGGGAGCGAACGUUCUACCGAAUCAUACAAAAUGCAACGCCAAUAAAGGAGACAGAGAAACCCUCAAAACUAACCAAGAAGGCUGGAAAUGUGGUGAUCAAUCGCACCAGAAACUCUCACAAUUUCCAACUUCCAAGGUAUUGGGCACAGCAAAUAGACAAAUACAUGAGAAAGGUAAACUGUAUAUAGCUUGUAAUAUAUGAUCUAUGUGAUUGUGACGACAGAUGGAAAUUGUUUGAUAAAACAGAAGGUUUGCAAGAUAUAAUAUAUAAUGAAGAACUACGAGGGAUUUGAUAGAAUAA